This 305-nucleotide ribosomal RNA is filed under the name uncultured bacterium. RNAcentral describes it as "bacterial SSU rRNA". It matches the Rfam family "Bacterial small subunit ribosomal RNA", at positions 335 to 656 of the family's 1533-position model. The record is from RNAcentral.
CCGCCUACGGGGCGCAGCAGUCGGGAAUAUUGCGCAAUGGAGGAAACUCUGACGCAGUGACGCCGCGUAUAGGAAGAAGGUUUUCGGAUUGUAAACUAUUGUCGUUAGGGAAGAUAAAAGACAGUACCUAAGGAGGAAGCUCCGGCUAACUAUGUGCCAGCAGCCGCGGUAAUACAUAGGGAGCAAGCGUUAUCCGGAAUUAUUGGGUGUAAAGGGUGCGUAGACGGAGGAACAAGUUAGUUGUGAAAUCCCUCGGCUUAACUGAGGAACUGCAACUAAAACUAUUCCCCUUGAGUGUCGGAGAG